GGAAGGAUCAUUCGCACGAACAAUCCAACUUUACUGUGAAUUUCCUUUGCGAGUGUCUGGGUGGGAUGCCCUCAGCUUAUGCUGCUGUCCCCAUGCAGAACUCAAGGGUGGCAAAGCAAGUUUGGUCGCACGUCUUCCUGCUUGUUCCUGCUGCCGUGUGUUUGUAUCAUAACGUUUGUUUAUCAGCCCGUUCUAUUUGCACUCGAUGUUUUGUAUAUUUACAACUUUCAGCGACGGAUGUCUCGGCUCAAGCAACGAUGAAGGGCGCAGCGAAGUGUGAUAAACAUUGUGAAUUGCAGAAUUCCGUGAACCAAUAGAACUUUGAACGCAUCUUGCGUUGCCAGGAUAUCCCUGACAGCAUGCCUGCUUCAGUGUCUGUUAUCUUCUCAUGCGUGGAGCUUCCUGCUUUCACGUGUAUUUGUGUGCCAGUGACCUCUUGUUUGGUGGCGCAUUGACACAUUGAGAUUAGAGUGUCGCGACAGCUUUGGCGGUUUGAAAAGGAGUCUGCUUCUGCCCUAGUGGCUGAGGUUGUCAUUGUUGACACAACAGUUUGUGCAAUCAUUGUGGUUGCCACCUUUGACAUGAAGUUAGGUCAGCAAACCCGCUGAAUUUAAGCAUAUAAGUAAGCGGAGGAAAAGAAACUAAAUAGGAUUCCCUUAGUAAUGGCGAAUGAACAGGGACAAGCUCGGCAUGGAAAUUGGGGCCUCUGGCCUUGAAUUGUAGCCUCGAGAAGUAUUUCCAACAGAGGCGCAGAUGUAAGCCUCUUGGAAAAGAGCAUCAUUGUGGGUGAGAAUCCUGUGUGUCAUCUGCAGCCCUUUGUGUACGGUAUGCUUUCUCAGAGUCACGUUCCUCGGAAUUGGAGCGCAAAGUGGGUGGUAAAUUUCAUCUAAAGCUAAAUAAUAGCUUGAGACCGAUAGCAAACAAGUACCAUGAGGGAAAGGUGAAAAGGACUUUGAAAAGAGAGUUAAAAGUGCCUGAAAUUGCUGAAAGGGAAGCGAAUGGAACCAGUCAUCUUGGCAAGACUGCUUCAUGUCAGUGUGAUUGCUUGCGGUCGCAACGCAAGUGCGACAGCUGGUUUAGAGCAUGACUUGUGGAGUGUUUCUUGCCUGGUGUGUCAGCAUCUGUCCAUGCUUGACGAAGACUCCAAGGACAUGGUAGCUUGCCUGUGGGUGGGUGAAUGUGCUUGGUAGGACCCAAGUUUGGAUUGAGAGCAGCAUAUUUUGAGCUGCAUGCUUUGCGCUUGGCGUUUGGCACCUCCUGAUUUGCAAUGCUGACUAAAUGGUUCUCUUCGACCCGUCUUGAAACACGGACCAAGGAGUCUAACAUAUGUGCAAGUUCACGGGUGGUAAGCCUGCUUGCGAAAUGAAAGUGACUGCUGGGAUUCUUGCACCAGCAACCGACCAAUCAAUUGAGAGAAGUUUGAGUAUGAGCACAUGUGUUAGGACCCGAAAGAUGGUGAACUAUGCCUGCGUAGGGUGAAGUCUGAAGAAAUUCAGAUGGAGGCUCGUAGCGGUACUGACGUGCAAAUCGUUCGUCAAACGUGGGUAUAGGGGCGAAAGACUAAUCGAACCAUCUAGUAGCUGGUUCCCUC
RNAcentral lists this unclassified non-coding RNA (1591 nucleotides) under uncultured fungus. RNAcentral's name for it is "sequence contains 18S rRNA gene, ITS1, 5.8S rRNA gene, ITS2, 28S rRNA gene". The stretch from base 578 to 1591 matches the Rfam family "Eukaryotic large subunit ribosomal RNA", at positions 1 to 961 of the family's 3401-position model. The record is from RNAcentral. Lineage: Eukaryota; Fungi.